CGGUAUGGCGACCGGCGCACGGGUGAGUAACACGUAUCCAACCUGCCGAUGACUCGGGGAUAGCCUUUCGAAAGAAAGAUUAAUACCCGAUGGCAUAGUUCUUCCGCAUGGUAGAACUAUUAAAGAAUUUCGGUCAUCGAUGGGGAUGCGUUCCAUUAGGUUGUUGGCGGGGUAACGGCCCACCAAGCCUUCGAUGGAUAGGGGUUCUGAGAGGAAGGUCCCCCACAUUGGAACUGAGACACGGUCCAA
Molecule: ribosomal RNA, 249 nt
Filed under: uncultured bacterium
Lineage: Bacteria
Description: partial 16S ribosomal RNA
Rfam family: Bacterial small subunit ribosomal RNA
Source: RNAcentral